UUUUUUUUUUUUGCUCUUCUCUCUUUCGCGAAACUCUCAACCCAAAACGAAGAAUUUCUUUUGACAAAAUCGAAACCUGGCAAUCAGAGGUUUUGAUUAACCAAUCACUAAUCAGAGACUUUGAUCAAUCAAUCGGAAAUCAGAGAUUUUGAUUAACCAAUCGGAACGACAUAUCUCGAUUAUACAGAUAAUUUCCUUUCUAUGAUCCUAUGAAUUCUUGUUUAGUAAUGGUAUAGAAAUUAGGGUCCUUUGAUUUUUGAAAAUUAGGGUUUCUCAAAAUCUGUUUCUAUCUGUGUUCAUAGGCAUGAUAGUAAAUAGGGUAAUCUGUUUGUAGUAUGUGAUCAAAGUCUCUGUUUUAUUCUCUUAUCUCUCUGUUUUCUGUUUAAUUGCUCGGCUUUUCUUGAAUUAUGCUUUUUAUGCCACCAACAGAUGCUUAAUCUUUAAAAAUGGAUAUGUUUUGAGAACUUCAAUGGUUUACGCAAUCAUAUGGUUCUUGGCUCCUGGGAGAUUAGAUUUCUGAAGAUACAGAUUCCGAAGUUCUUGUGCUUUUUUGUUUCCCUCUCCAAUCAACAGCCUUGGUGGCAAGCAUGUAGGAUAUCAACACUUGGACUUCCCCUCAUUGAAGCUCAGUAAUGUUGGUGGUCGACCCUUUUCACAUGGGGGAAUCAAUUGCAUUGGAAAAAGCUUCUUGUCAUCAACUUAACUACUCCCACAUACUGAAGAAACAAGAACACGAUCGAGCAAAAUCUGGAUUGUUCAUGACAGUCUCAACAUCAUGAUAAUGCUACCUUUGAUGAUAUCUUUAACUGUGGCUUUGUUAGUUUUUGAUUUCCAGGAGCUUCAUUGUUUAGUUUUUUUAAAAAUGCUACCUUUGGUGAUAUUUUGUCUUAGAGUUACUAGAUUUUAAUAAUUUUAUGCAAUAAUUUUUAUU
Molecule: long non-coding RNA, 931 nt
Organism: Camelina sativa (false flax)
Lineage: Eukaryota; Viridiplantae; Streptophyta; Magnoliopsida; Brassicales; Brassicaceae
Source: RefSeq, a predicted model, not a curated record